Molecule: non-coding RNA, 29 nt
Filed under: Mus musculus (house mouse)
Lineage: Eukaryota; Metazoa; Chordata; Mammalia; Rodentia; Muridae
Source: RNAcentral
UGGCGAAAGAGUAUCCAGAAUUUCAGUUU